UGCGUGGGCGUCGGUGAUGGAAGCCAUC
This 28-nucleotide non-coding RNA is filed under the name Homo sapiens (human). Lineage: Eukaryota; Metazoa; Chordata; Mammalia; Primates; Hominidae. The record is from RNAcentral.